UUACGAUUCAAUUGGUUCUCAUUUGGUUUAAUUUUUCUUUUGAUCAUGUGUUGUGAUAUUUGAAGUGUGUUUUGACAAGUUUUAGUUUUAUUAGUUAGUUAGAUUAGAUCGCUCUUUGAAUCAUUUUUUCAUUAGUAAAAUUGGAUUGGUUUUUUAGCUUUGUUAAUUCACUAGUUAUGGCUUUAUUAAGCUCUUAGAAUAAUUGUAGUUAAACUUCAACUAGGGUUAUUUCAGUCUAGUAAAAUUCAGGGUAAAGGCAGGGGUAGUUUGGGCAUUUAACCAUAUGAUAGAAUAGAAUCCCCAGAAUCUUUUAGAAUGGGGCUCAAGUUUAUAUUUCAGUAAGUUUAGGGUUCAGUCUAGUAAAAUUCAGGGUAAAGACAGGGGUAUUUUGGGCAUUUAACCAUAGGAUAGAAUUUUGUAGAUUAGAAUAGAAUUCCCUAGAAUCUUCUAGAAUGGGGCUCACAUUUAGAUUUUAGUAAGUUUAGGAUAUUAACUUGAGUGACAAGUCAGAACUUCAGGACUAUCUGAAUAAAAUCUUAAAACAAAGAGGGGGAAAAUGAAUGAGGGAAUUCUAGAAUCUUCCUACCCCCUUCUUGCAUAUAAAAGGCAGCCCCAAUGCAUUAAGAAACAAUUUUGGAAGCCCAAAAAUUCCCCUAAAAACCUUUCCUGCAUAUCUGAAUCCCUAGUUUGAAUUUCAAAUUUAGAAUUUUAAAAAUAUGAACUCUUAUAGUUUCCACCUUCUUUUAGAUCUGAAUUCCUAUUCAAAAAUCCAAAAACAAACAGAAAUAUAGUAAAAAAAAGGUAUUGUUUCAUUGAAAUUUUAGUAUGAUUUUGAUUUCUAGUUGUUAAUUCACAUCUUCUCGUCCAAUAUCUAUUGGCUGGGAGCUUUAGAGGUGUCCUGGUUCAAAUUCGAGCUAGUUUUGGUUUACAUGAGUUGUGUUGGUCGUUCAAACUGCAUUUGGUUAAUUCAGUCAGUUUUUGGGUCUAGUUGCUGUUGUUUCUCGCUACUAGUUUUACAAAAUUCAAGCUGAAAUAGCUGUGAUAGUCCUUCACUGCUUGAAUCUGUGCCUCUCACAUUGCUGCUGAUCUCUCCUUUCCUCAUUUCUCUUAUCAAAUUCCAGGUACACACUCUGGACUAACUCAAUGUAGCUUCUCCUGUCAAACAAUGAAAUGAAACGGAGGCGAUUCUCUACUGUAGAUCUACUGUUUGAUAAUUCUAUCAUGUUUAAGUAGAUUUUCUGUGAUUUGGUUGGUCGUUCAAUGUAAUUAACUUUGGAUUGUAAUUAGGACUGCUUUAAAGUGAUUUGGACUGUCUUUUCUGGACUUUCAAUUUGUAGUAAUUGAUCAAACUCUAUAAUUGUAUAAUUGUUCUAAUGGUGGCAUUAUUUGUGAACACUAGAAUUAGCAGGCUAUUAACACUAGAAAAAUAGGGGGCAAUCAUUGAGAUUUGAAUAGAGUAUUUUAAAAAUUGUGUUAAAUGGACUGUGAGCUAUAUUUGUAUAAUCCAUGUCGGUGUGGUUGUGUUAAUUUAAGCAUUGUUUGAGGACCGACUGAAAAUGAGUAUUAACUUAGGAUUUAACCAAAUAUGAGCAUAAUUCUCUAGGUUCUUCGGAGUUUAGUUUACUUUUGGAAAUCAUAAACAUCAUAUCAAUACGAUAGGUGUUGCGUCUCCUGUUUAACAGACGUUGGCUACGCUAAUUCAUUCAUUGAGUUCAAUAAUUAAUUAUAGUACUUCCUUGGAUUAUAUCUAAUCAGAAUACAAGUUAAAAUAAGAUUGAUGGUUGCUGAGUUGAUCGAAUUUGGAAUUACCUUCAGUUGUUACUCAAAAUUCUGAACCUAAUUGUGCAAACUCAACCGUGAGUACUUAGCUGAUCCUAAGCAUUCUGAGCUUAACAGCCCAUUCAGGUGUUUUGGUGUCACUGAUGCCUGAGCUACUUAUGUUUAUGAUGUAGCGUUCGAAAUGGGCCUGUAGUAAGGCCCAAGGAUGGUUGGCCGCUCCUGAAAUAAAAAAGCUGGUUAUUUAUAUUGGGCUGAACUUGAGAACAGAUACACUAACGACUCUCACUCCUUUAAUCAUGAUUUAGUUUAGGCUUUGGGCCUAUAAAUUAAAUUUCUUUUAGAGAUAAUCCCUUAAUAGAUAACCAUAGUCCAUUUCGAGGAUGCCUUUUAUAUAAAUGAGACGAGCCUCGCUGAACAAAACACAUAAAUUGCGGGACCCUCGAUAAAUACCUGUAUUAAAUACUUAGAAUUCAGGAUGGGCCGCCUAGCAAAUAUUGUUUUACCCAAAGAUAAUAACGUGUUAGUAUCUUUAGGCGCAUAUUAUAAUAACAUUACCUACUAAACUCGGGUGCACAAUUAUAUAACCCAAAUCCAAAUCUCAACGAAGUCGAAAUAUGUCAACAACCACGGGUGUAUUUAUGUGACGUGGUUCGAGAAACGUUUUUACGACAUUGCAAUUCUCGUUAAAAAUAAUAAUAAAAACGAUUAAGAUUAAAAGCACAUAAGAAAAAAUAUGUUUUGAAAUAAGAUA
RNAcentral lists this long non-coding RNA (2530 nucleotides) under Nicotiana benthamiana. RNAcentral's name for it is "long non-coding RNA (NBEN_LNC021075)". Lineage: Eukaryota; Viridiplantae; Streptophyta; Magnoliopsida; Solanales; Solanaceae. The record is from RNAcentral.